GACGAACGCUGGCGGUGUGCUUAACACAUGCAAGUCGAACGGAAAGGCCCUGCUUUUGUGGGGUGCUCGAGUGGCGAACGGGUGAGUAACACGUGAGUAACCUGCCCUUGACUUUGGGAUAACUUCAGGAAACUGGGGCUAAUACCGGAUAGGAGCUCCUGCUGCAUGGUGGGGGUUGGAAAGUUUCGGCGGUUGGGGAUGGACUCGCGGCUUAUCAGCUUGUUGGUGGGGUAGUGGCUUACCAAGGCUUUGACGGGUAGCCGGCCUGAGAGGGUGACCGGCCACAUUGGGACUGAGAUACGGCCCAGACUCCUACGGGAGGCAGCAGUGGGGAAUAUUGCACAAUGGGCGGAAGCCUGAUGCAGCAACGCCGCGUGCGGGAUGACGGCCUUCGGGUUGUAAACCGCUUUCGCCUGUGACGAAGCGCGAGUGACGGUAAUGGGUAAAGAAGCACCGGCUAACUACGUG
RNAcentral lists this ribosomal RNA (468 nucleotides) under uncultured bacterium. Its description in RNAcentral is "partial 16S ribosomal RNA". It matches the Rfam family "Bacterial small subunit ribosomal RNA", at positions 28 to 507 of the family's 1533-position model. The record is from RNAcentral.